Perognathus longimembris pacificus (Pacific pocket mouse) is the source of this 173-nucleotide long non-coding RNA. RefSeq lists it as uncharacterized. NCBI's taxonomy places the organism in Eukaryota, Metazoa, Chordata, Mammalia, Rodentia, Heteromyidae. The record is from RefSeq and is a predicted model, not a curated record. The transcript is spliced from 3 exons.
AUGCUAAGGUUUUUAGAGAUAAGGUAAAAACUUAUUCAUCAUUCUACCUCACCCAUCUCGCCAUGUUCACUUAUUCCAGCACCUUGCUUCUGUUUUCACUUAUUUUACUGAAUAAAUACUAUCCAGUAGUAGACAUGAACGUAUGAGAUACUGAAAAGGGUAGGAAUUAUUUU